UCAUGUUGACUCCAUGUUAAUUUCUUAUAGAGUUCAACGUGUUUUUUGCAUCAUAUAUGGGCUAGGAUUGGAUUUGAUAGAUCUUGGUUUCAUAUGAGGGUUAAUUCGGUAGCACAUGAUGGUACAUCGACGUGCAGAUGAUUUCUCAUCAUUUUUUAGUUACUAGUCUCUAUCUAUCUAAAUCAUGCUCAUGCAUCGUCAUUCUACUACUCGUAUUUCUCAAUUUUCAGUAGUUGAAAUUACCUCAAUACCAUGAGCCACAUUGCUUUAGAAUCGAAUGUGACUAAUUUACAUAUUUGAUCAUGUUGUAAUCGUAUCGGGAAGAGUGGUGGGCGAUCUGAGGAUUUUGCCGCCCACCUGAGGAAAUGUUUCGAAACUGGCCAAAGGACUGACUUUACCAUCUUUGCUCAGAUGGAUCGGAUAUUGCAUCAGCUCAGGCUUGGCGCGCUCUGCAGCAGGGGGGCAGAACAGAAACAGAGCACCUUCCAACACGGAAAAGGAGCUCAGCAAAUUCUCUCUAGCCCUCGGUUAUUCCUUUGAUCUUCAUUCCCUCUUCAUUGUCCUCUCUGUCACCCUCCAUCCACCAACAGCCGCUGCCACACCUCCAUCGCUGGCCACCACAGGACAUGUCACGCUGAGAAGGGGCAAGAACAAACAGCGUUGAUUAAAGGAACUCGGGUGAUUUUUGAGCAUUUAUAAGGCUGAGAAGAACAGAGGGCGAGCUUUAAUUGACACCGUAGACUGAUGCUUCAACGAGGAUUAUCACCGUAGACAAAUGAUGUGGACAAACAUGAAGAGAUUGUUCAGAUGGAGCUGACUGAAUAGUGAUGGCUAUGUUCUUUUUACUGAAGGCAACGGGAAAGAUAAAGUUGGAGUUUUGAUUUGGAUCCCUCUUCCUUGGUGGCUCUUAUACCAUGGAAAUAUUUCUAUGAUUUGCAAGCGAGAGGGAGAGAGAGAAUCAACAAAUACUACACCUUUACUCAAUAGCCAAAUAAAAGAGUAUAUAGUAGCUCCACUUAUAAAGAUUGAGAGACAUUAACAAAGCUCCGAUUACCUUAUUUGUGACCACCUGCUAAUUGCCGACUAAUAUUCAUAAUUGUACUUCAACACAAAUCACAAUUGGAGCAAAUACUUGACA
This is a long non-coding RNA of Eucalyptus grandis, 1138 nucleotides long. RefSeq lists it as uncharacterized. Lineage: Eukaryota; Viridiplantae; Streptophyta; Magnoliopsida; Myrtales; Myrtaceae. The record is from RefSeq and is a predicted model, not a curated record. The transcript has 2 exons.